AUUCUGUGAGCUGAGCCUAGGGAAGCUACUGAAGCUGAAUACUGAGAGUCUCUGCAACUUCCAGGGGAAACAAACUGUGAAAAAAUAGAAAUUUCCCAAUGUUAAGUUUUUCCCUCUAUCAUUUUCAUAGGAAUGGGAAGUUUGGGGGGAGGCUGUGCACUGGAAAAGGGUGCUUUUCCAGAGAAAAAGUGAGAGAGAGUGCAUGGAGUAGUAUACAUAGAAAAACAGUGGCAAACAUUAAUUGAGUGAUUACUAUGUGGGGAUUCUGUGCUAAGCCUUUAAUCCUCACAAAGCCUGUAUUAUUAUUCUUCUCGUUUUGCAGGUGAAGAAACUGAGACAAAGAGUGUUCAGGAGGAUUAUUUCCACUGAGCCAUCUGGGAAACCCCAGGAAUAAUGAGUAGUCAAUUCCUGAAUACUGCAGGAAAUCUGAAGACAACAUCACAGACUCUUUCGUGGAAACCUUCCAGCUUUCUACCCUUGGAUCAUGGCAAAGAAGAUGGGACCCAAGCUUGCACCAGCAGUGAAAGCCAAGAAGCUUUAAAUGUAUCAGCUGGGGUAUUAAAUGUAGGGAAAUAUUGUUCCAUUUCACAGUACAAUUGCUGAAAUUUUUUUAUUGAAGUAUAGUUAAUUUACAAUGUUAUGUUAGUUUCAAGUGUACAGCAAACUGAUUCAGUUAUAUAUGUGCAUCUUUUUUAGAUUCUUUUUUGUUAUAGGUUAUUACAAGGUAUUGAGUAUAGUUCUCUGCUAUAUAGUAAGUCCUUAUUGCUUACCUAUUUUAUACAUAUUAGUGUGUAUGCAUGCAUUAGUGUAUAUAUGUUAAUCCAAAACUCCUGGUUUGUUCCCCCUCCUUGCUAUCCCCUUUGUUAACCAUAAGUUUGUUUUCUAUGUCUGUGAGUCUGUUUCUGUUUUGUAAGUUCAUUUGUAUUAGUUUUUUAGAUUCCACAUGUAAGCGACGGGCUUCCUUGGUGGCUCAGAAAGUAAAGAAUCUGCCUGAUAUAUUUGUCUUUCUCUGACUUAAUAUAACAAUCUCUGGAUAUAUC
Molecule: long non-coding RNA, 1040 nt
Organism: Dama dama (fallow deer)
Lineage: Eukaryota; Metazoa; Chordata; Mammalia; Artiodactyla; Cervidae
Exons: 2
Source: RefSeq, a predicted model, not a curated record